Sorex fumeus (smoky shrew) is the source of this 133-nucleotide small nucleolar RNA. RefSeq annotates it as small nucleolar RNA SNORA9. The record is from RefSeq and is a predicted model, not a curated record. The transcript has a single exon. NCBI's taxonomy places the organism in Eukaryota, Metazoa, Chordata, Mammalia, Eulipotyphla, Soricidae.
CUGCAAGUCUCCAGCGUGCUUGGGUCUGGGGGUGACCAUAGGCAUUCCUAUAGAGCUUGCAAGAAUAGUAUGAAAUAGUUUGAAGGCUUGCUCAGCUCCAUCCAGAACAAGGUUAUAGAAAUUUCAGACAGUU